UGAGGGGCAGCCUGAUCAGCCAUNCCGCGUGGGUGAAGAAGGCCUUCGGGUUGUAAAGCCCUUUUGUUGGGAAAGAAAUCCAGCUGGCUAAUACCCGGUUGGGAUGACGGUACCCAAAGAAUAAGCACCGGCUAACUUCGUGCCAGCAGCCGCGGUAAUACGAAGGGUGCAAGCGUUACUCGGAAUUACUGGGCGUAAAGCGUGCGUAGGUGGUCNUUUAAGUCCGAUGUGAAAGCCCUGGGCUCAACCUGGGAACUGCAUUGGAUACUGGGCGACUAGAGUGUGGUAGAGGGUAGCGGAAUUCCUGGUGUAGCAGUGAAAUGCGUAGAGAUCAGGAGGAACAUCCAUGGCGAAGGCAGCUNCCUGGACCAACACUGACACUGANGCACGAAAGCGUGGGGAGCAAACAGGAUUAGAUACCCUGGUAGUCCACGCCCUAAACGAUGCNAACUGGAUGUUGGGUGCAAUUUGGCACGCANUAUCNAANCUAACGCGUUAANUUCNCCNCCUGGGGAGUACGGUCGCAANACUGAAACUCAAAGGAAUUUUG
RNAcentral lists this ribosomal RNA (550 nucleotides) under uncultured Stenotrophomonas sp. Its description in RNAcentral is "partial 16S ribosomal RNA". It matches the Rfam family "Bacterial small subunit ribosomal RNA", at positions 372 to 914 of the family's 1533-position model. The record is from RNAcentral. Lineage: Bacteria; Pseudomonadati; Pseudomonadota; Gammaproteobacteria; Lysobacterales; Lysobacteraceae.